UACGUAGGUGGCAAGCGUUGUCCGGAUUUACUGGGCGUAAAGAGCGCGCAGGCGGUCGUCCAAGUCGCGUGUGAAAGCCCCCGGCUCAACUGGGGAGGGUCACGCGAUACUGGUCGACUCGAAGGCAGGAGAGGGUAGUGGAAUUCCCGGUGUAGUGGUGAAAUGCGUAGAUAUCGGGGAGGAACACCGGUGGCGAAGGCGGGUCUCUGGACAGUUCCUGACACUGAGGCACGAAGGCCAGGGGAGCAAACGGG
RNAcentral lists this ribosomal RNA (254 nucleotides) under uncultured bacterium. Its description in RNAcentral is "partial 16S ribosomal RNA". It matches the Rfam family "Bacterial small subunit ribosomal RNA", at positions 524 to 776 of the family's 1533-position model. The record is from RNAcentral.